Molecule: ribosomal RNA, 497 nt
Filed under: uncultured bacterium
Lineage: Bacteria
Description: partial 16S ribosomal RNA
Rfam family: Bacterial small subunit ribosomal RNA
Source: RNAcentral
GACGAACGCUGGCGGCGUGCCUAAUACAUGCAAGUUGAGCGCUGAAGGUUGGUACUUGUACCAACUGGAUGAGCAGCGAACGGGUGAGUAACGCGUGGGGAAUCUGCCUUUGAGCGGGGGACAACAUUUGGAAACGAAUGCUAAUACCGCAUAAAAACUUUAAACACAAGUUUUAAGUUUGAAAGAUGCAAUUGCAUCACUCAAAGAUGAUCCCGCGUUGUAUUAGCUAGUUGGUGAGGUAAAGGCUCACCAAGGCGAUGAUACAUAGCCGACCUGAGAGGGUGAUCGGCCACAUUGGGACUGGGACACGGCCCAAACUCCUACGGGAGGCAGCAGUAGGGAAUCUUCGGCAAUGGACGAAAGUCUGACCGGGCAACGCCGCGUGAGUGCAGAAGGGUCUCGGAUCGUAAAACUCUGUUGGUAGGGAAGAACGUUGGGGAGAGUGGAAAGCUCAUCAAGUGACGGUAACUACCCAGAAAGGGACGGCUAACUACGUG